CUCUUAUCCCGAGUCGGUGGAGGGACAGGCCCGAGGAAGCCCGGCAACCAACACUUAUAGUGAAAGCGCAAUGUUUGUUACUUGCUUCACGUUUUAUAUAGUGAAAAGGUGCUAACCUGCUGCAAGACGAUUGUCUUGAUCGAUAAGAG
RNAcentral lists this non-coding RNA (149 nucleotides) under Anaerobacillus arseniciselenatis. Its description in RNAcentral is "SAM-I sequence". It matches the Rfam family "SAM riboswitch aptamer (S box leader)". Rfam says of the family: The SAM riboswitch is found upstream of a number of genes which code for proteins involved in methionine or cysteine biosynthesis in Gram-positive bacteria. The record is from Rfam by way of RNAcentral. Lineage: Bacteria; Bacillati; Bacillota; Bacilli; Caryophanales; Bacillaceae.